GGUUGUGGCUCAGUGGUAGAACUCUUGCCUAGAAUGUGUGAGGUACUGGGUUCGAUCCUCAACACCA
This 67-nucleotide transfer RNA is filed under the name Marmota monax (woodchuck). RNAcentral describes it as "tRNA.Ser". Lineage: Eukaryota; Metazoa; Chordata; Mammalia; Rodentia; Sciuridae. The record is from RNAcentral.